UUGGAGGGCAAGUCUGGUGCCAGCAGCCGCGGUAAUUCCAGCUCCAAUAGCGUAUAUUAAAGUUGUUGCAGUUAAAAGCUCGUAGUUGAAUUUCGGGAUUAAUUUAUUGGUCGUGCUAUUGUACGUACUGGUAUUAUUGAUUCCUACCUUCUGACGAACCAUGAUGUCAUUUAAUUUGGUGUCGUUGGGGAAUCAGGACUGUUACUUUAGAAAAAUUGAGUGUUUAAAGCAGGCUCACGCUUGAAUACAUUAGCAUGGAAUAACGAAAUAGGACGUUUGAUUCUAUUUUGUUGGUUUCUAGGAUCGACGUAAUGAUUAAUAGGGAUAGGUUGGGGGCAUUAGUAUUCAAUUGUCAGAGGUGAAAUUCUUGGAUUUAUUGAAGACUAACU
Molecule: ribosomal RNA, 389 nt
Filed under: uncultured Glomeraceae
Lineage: Eukaryota; Fungi; Glomeromycota; Glomeromycetes; Glomerales; Glomeraceae
Description: SSU rRNA
Rfam family: Eukaryotic small subunit ribosomal RNA
Source: RNAcentral